This 1307-nucleotide long non-coding RNA is filed under the name Vigna radiata. Its description in RNAcentral is "long non-coding RNA (VRAD_LNC000627)". Lineage: Eukaryota; Viridiplantae; Streptophyta; Magnoliopsida; Fabales; Fabaceae. The record is from RNAcentral.
CGCCUACAGCAUCCUUUAUUCACGUCUCGUCACAGAAGUACUCAAGUGCUUGUGUAAAAGAGACAACCACAAAUAAACAAAGGAGUGUAAUGGAAACUUAUGAUAAUUUUGAGUAAACAUAACAUUCAAAUAUAUUCUAAAAUAAGACAUCUAUCAAUACUAACUAUUUUAUCCAUCUAAUAUACAUCCCACCAUGGAUCACAUCCAUAAGAGAUAUACGUUCGUAGUGCACCAACUAUGAUUUAAAUAAAGAUUAAUCCAUAUUUUAUUAUUAAAAACGUUAAAAAUGUUAAUGGCUCAAUCACAAUUAAGAGGAGUUAAAUUUAUUGUAAGGUUUAUUGUUAUUUUUUAAAUCUUUGGGUUAAAUAUGUUUUUAGUCCCUUAACUAUUAAACGAUUUUGAGUUUAGUUCUUACUCAAAACUUUGGUUGUUUUUAGUCCUCUUACUUUUGAAACUCUUAUAAUCAAUUCUUAAAAUUGAACAACAUUAACUUUUGUUUGAUAUGACAAAUGGUGAAUCCACGUCUGAUUCUACUUUUGUCUUUACUGUGUGGCACGUUGUUUUUCUUUUUUUCUUUUCUUUUUAGGAAGACUUCAAGGAUGACCCUAACACCGAACCUGAUUCCUCCGUCCAAUGGGACGAGCUCGGCGACGGAGACACCCACAAAUCUGAGGGGGACCUCGACCUUGGUUCAUGGUGCCCCAUCUUCGAGCCCCCUCCGGAGACCCCAACCUCUCUCGGAAUCCGACGACGCCUAUUACUCCGCCGUCGAAAAUCUCAUGUCCGGUAACCCCACCCUCAUUGAGGACGGCGCCGCAGAGAUCGCUGUCGCAGCCGAGACCGACCAUCCCACCGCGUAAUUUGUUCUAGGGUUUUGUGGAAGAGCCGUUAGAGGAGCUAAUUUGGGUCGGUUGGGCGUGGUUUGCUACAAUGGUGAUUUUAAGGAUGCGUUUGGAGGGAGAGAGUUCGAAUGGGAAGAGCAAGGAAGUUGCAGAAGAAAGAUGAAUGGUUGCCAUGUUUAUUGAUUGAAAUUAAAAUGAAGAUGAAGGUGACCUGCUUUUGGUUGCGGCAAAUAAUAAACAACUUUCUCCUUUAUUUUACUUGUUGCAGUUCCCACCAACCAUGUUCCAUUGGCGCCUGGUGUUAAGAAAUAACCAUUAUCUCUUUGUAUUUCACUAUUACUGCACCUAGCUGACUGACACCAUAGCAACAGUCUUUCACCGCAUAUGUUUGCAGUUAAAAUAUCUUGUGUACUAAGGAUAUUUUUAACAGAUUUUUAUCCAUAAUGAAUGAGGUUAAUGGUCGGU